CCCUUAGAUGUCCGGGGCCGCACGCGCGCUACAAUGGAUGAAUCAACGCGUCAUCCUGGCCCGAAAGGGUUGGGGAACCGCUGAACCUCAUCCGCGGUUGGGAUUGGGGUUUGUAAUUAUUCCCCAUGAACUAGGAAUUCCCAGUAAGCGCGAGUCAUAAGCUCGCGUUGAUUACGUCCCUGCCCUUUGUACACACCGCCCGUCGCUACUACCGAUUGGAUGGUUUAGUGAGAUCCUCGGAUUGGUCACGGCACGGUGGCAACACUGCGUCGGUGUGCCGAGAAGACGAUCAAACUUGAUCAUCUAGAGGAAGUAAAAGUCGUAACA
Molecule: ribosomal RNA, 327 nt
Filed under: uncultured eukaryote
Lineage: Eukaryota
Description: partial 18S ribosomal RNA
Rfam family: Eukaryotic small subunit ribosomal RNA
Source: RNAcentral